AAUAUUAGUUUCGUUUCAAGCGUC
RNAcentral lists this small nuclear RNA (24 nucleotides) under Arabidopsis thaliana (thale cress). RNAcentral's name for it is "snRNA_02734". The record is from RNAcentral. Lineage: Eukaryota; Viridiplantae; Streptophyta; Magnoliopsida; Brassicales; Brassicaceae.